AUUGAACGCUGGCGGCAGGCCUAACACAUGCAAGUCGAGCGGUAACAGAUCCAGCUUGCUGGAUGCUGACGAGCGGCGGACGGGUGAGUAAUGCAUAGGAAUCUGCCCGAUAGUGGGGGAUAACCUGGGGAAACCCAGGCUAAUACCGCAUACGUCCUACGGGAGAAAGGGGGCUCCGGCUCCCGCUAUGGGAUGAGCCUAUGUCGGAUUAGCUAGUUGGUGAGGUAACGGCUCACCAAGGCGACGAUCCGUAGCUGGUCUGAGAGGAUGAUCAGCCACAUCGGGACUGAGACACGGCCCGA
This 302-nucleotide ribosomal RNA is filed under the name uncultured bacterium. Its description in RNAcentral is "bacterial SSU rRNA". It matches the Rfam family "Bacterial small subunit ribosomal RNA", at positions 30 to 334 of the family's 1533-position model. The record is from RNAcentral.